UUUCUGUUGGACAGUUCUUGAGCCGGCUACCCUCGGGGUGGUAUACGGCGCAGCUAGAUACAGCCAGGAUGGGUCCGUUUUGGGCAGCUCGGGUGAGAUAGUGAGUGACGCUUUUCCCUACCUUUAGUGAGGUUGUGACGUGAGUGGAGUCUUAGCCGUCCUGUUGGACCUUUUCUGGAACCGACUACUCUUGAGAUACGGUGUAGUCUAAUUAGGCGAGACGGGUGUAUUCACAGUCUUUAGAGAGUUUUCUCCGCCGGUUACUCUUGAGAUACGGUGUAGUCUAGUAGACGAGACUGGUGUAUUCACAGUCUCUAGAGAGUCUUCUCCGCCGGUUACUCUUGAGCUACGGUGUCACCUAAUUAGACGGGAUGGGUGUAUUCACAGUCCCUAGAGAUUUUCUCCACCAGCUACUCCUGGAGUAGGUUACGGGUUCGAUCCGACAGGCGGGACGGGUGUGUUCACAGUCCCUAGUGAGAUUGAGUCAGUAGUGACUUUCACUAUAGUUGGUUAGUGUAGAUCACGCUAGUGUAGCGAUAUGUAGCUGUAGAUUCCUUUCCAGCUUUUCCUGCUAGCCUUGUUACCUUCUGUAGACUUAGUGGGUGGACCGAUGAUUGUUGAGGGCGGCACCCACUAAGGACUACUUGUUUCUACAGUAGUUCUCACGCCCAGUUGUUACCCCGUUUUUGGAAAGCCUUCAUCUUCGGCUGCUGUUGUUGCUGAUCAGGAUCUAGGCAAGGGCGUCGCGAGUUAGAGCCCUACCCGAGGAGCAGAGCUAGAGGCACCCCUACUACAGGUAGAUGUUUUGGUUUGGGUUCAUGUACAUACAGACUUUUAAC
Molecule: long non-coding RNA, 839 nt
Filed under: Ananas comosus (pineapple)
Lineage: Eukaryota; Viridiplantae; Streptophyta; Magnoliopsida; Poales; Bromeliaceae
Description: long non-coding RNA (ACOM_LNC043964)
Source: RNAcentral